RNAcentral lists this long non-coding RNA (541 nucleotides) under Mytilus galloprovincialis (Mediterranean mussel). Lineage: Eukaryota; Metazoa; Mollusca; Bivalvia; Mytilida; Mytilidae. The record is from RNAcentral.
UUUUUUUUCAGUAUCAUAAUUCGGACUGUUAGAUAUUUUUCAACAAAUUUCUGAGUUUUAAACCUGGAGAAAAACAUAUAUACAUAUGUAAGAAAUUGAUUUUAUCUUUUAUGUUGUGCACAACUGUUCUAGGUUAAGUGCUCACAUGUUUAACCCUGACAUAUGCUUUAUUGGCCUGUACUUCAGUGGUUUUCAAUGGUUAAUGUCUGUCAUAUUUCUUUUUUGUGAAUUAAUUUUUUUUUAUAAAUUAGACCGUUAACUUUGUAGUCUGAAUUGUUUACAUUAUUCAUAUCACACCGCAUCUCCUUAUUUUGAUGUAAUCUCUAAAAUUUAAAAAUUGAUAUCACAACCAGUUUACAUAUUUAGUCCAGUAUGUUAUAAAUCUUUAAAAAAAAACACUUUUUAUUUUUUAAAUAUAUCCUAUUUGUCAAACAUAAAAUGUUUAAAGGUCUAAAAGUUUCAGCUGCUGUCGGUUAUUGUUAAUUUUGUAUUCUGUGUCCAAAAUCGACGUUGAUUAGAGAAGCUUUAAUUGGACGUCGAU